AUUAUUCGUCUUUUUCUUUUUAUAUUUUUAGAUUCAUUUCUAUUCCUUUUGCUACUCCUCCAAUUACCCUUCCGUCUCUGCUUUUAUUAGAUCCUAAUAAAAGAGAGAGAGAAGG
Molecule: non-coding RNA, 115 nt
Filed under: Hanusia phi
Lineage: Eukaryota; Cryptophyceae; Pyrenomonadales; Geminigeraceae
Source: RNAcentral